UACAGAGGUGGCAAGCGUUGUUCGGAAUUACUGGGCGUAAAGGGCGCGUAGGCGGUCUUGCAAGUCCCGUGUGAAAUCCCUCGGCUCAACUGAGGAACUGCACGGGAAACUGCUUGGCUUGAGUCCGGGAGAGGGAAGCGGAAUUCCGGGUGUAGCGGUGAAAUGCGUAGAUAUCCGGAGGAACACCGGUGGCGAAGGCGGCUUCCUGGACCGACACUGACGCUGAGGCGCGAAAGCUAGGGGAGCAAACGGG
RNAcentral lists this ribosomal RNA (253 nucleotides) under uncultured bacterium. RNAcentral's name for it is "partial 16S ribosomal RNA". It matches the Rfam family "Bacterial small subunit ribosomal RNA", at positions 524 to 776 of the family's 1533-position model. The record is from RNAcentral.